AACUUUUAGCAAUGGAUCUCUUGGCUCUCGCAUCGAUGAAGAAAGCAGCGAAAUGCGAUAAGUAAUGUGAAUUGCAGAAUUCAGUGAAUCAUCGAAUCUUUGAACGCACCUUGCGCCCCUUGGUUAUUACUUGGGGCAUGCCUGUUUGAGUAUCAUGAACACCUCAACUCUCACGGUCUUCCGCGACGAGCUUGGACUUUGGGGGUUUGCUGGCCCUGCGGCCGGCUCCUCUCAAACAAAUCAGCUUGCCAGUGUUUGGCGGCAUCUCACGGGUGUGAUAACUAUCUACGCUCGCGGUUGUCUGCCAGGUAACCCUCAGCAAUGAAGGUUCAUUGGGGCUCAUAAACGUCUCUCCUCGGCGAGGACAGCUUUUGAACGUUCGAUCUCAAAUCAGGUAGGACUACCCGCUGAACUUAAGCAUAUCAAUAAGCGGAGGCU
Molecule: unclassified non-coding RNA, 438 nt
Filed under: uncultured Thelephoraceae
Lineage: Eukaryota; Fungi; Basidiomycota; Agaricomycetes; Thelephorales; Thelephoraceae
Description: sequence contains ITS2
Rfam family: 5.8S ribosomal RNA (bases 1-155)
Source: RNAcentral